RNAcentral lists this ribosomal RNA (260 nucleotides) under uncultured Lactobacillus sp. RNAcentral describes it as "partial 16S ribosomal RNA". It matches the Rfam family "Bacterial small subunit ribosomal RNA", at positions 103 to 354 of the family's 1533-position model. The record is from RNAcentral. Lineage: Bacteria; Bacillati; Bacillota; Bacilli; Lactobacillales; Lactobacillaceae.
UGGGUGAGUAACGCGUGGGUAACCUGCCCUUAAGUCUGGGAUACCAUUUGGAAACAGAUGCUAAUACCGGAUAAAAGCCACUUUCGCAUGAAGGAAGUUUAAAAGGCGGCGUAAGCUGUCGCUAAAGGAUGGACCUGCGAUGCAUUAGCUAGUUGGUAAGGUAACGGCUUACCAAGGCGAUGAUGCAUAGCCGAGUUGAGGGACUGAUCGGCCACAUUGGGACUGAGACACGGCCCAAACUCCUACGGGAGGCAGCAGAC